CUGUCAUUGCAGCGGCGGCAGCGGAUCUGAGUCCCACCCGUCGGGAUCGAACGACAGAUGGCGUGAGGCAGCUGGAUGCGAGUCCCACUCCCAACCUGAGGGCUCGACCUUCUCGAUUCCUGGCUGCGGCUGGUGCGGAACUCCGAAGUGACGGUGAACUCGCCGGCCUCGCACUGCCCCCACACAAGUGCCAUCAGGUCUGCAAGCUCUGGUCGCUUGUCUUGAUAUCAGCCAUGUAAUCAUAUCUCACUUCAUUGUGCAAUCUUGUUUCUGAUUCUUGGAGCUUGGACAUCUGAAAUUCUUUGUUUCGAAGCAUAUUUUUUCAGAUUGUUUCAUCUUAGUUUAUUGACAACAAAGUUGUUAACCUUUCUUAAUCUUUGGAUGGACCAACUAAUCCACAAGCUUUUAGGUCAGAAUUUUCACGAGUACUCACUUAGGCUAUAGUUUUUCCUUUUCUUUUCUUUAACUCCCAGAAAAACAACAGCGUGCAUUGCAUCAUAUUAACCACUUGAUAUUACAGUGAUCAAUAUGUAGGAAUUUCAACGCAAGAAAGAACUAAUAAGGUUGCUGAAAGGGUUAGGAUUUGAACUUAAGGUUUUUUUCUUGCUUAGCAGUUCAGUCUAUUGAAUUAAAUAGUUGCAUAUCUCUUCUAUUAUAAUUGGAUUUUUGCAAAGAUCUUUUCAGACGAAGAGAUCACGGGCUUAUUGGCUUAAGCAAAUGAUCAAAUCCUUGGGCACUGAUAAAAAUUACUGAUGUGUGUGUGUAUGUGUGUGGUGGCAGCUGGCAUGUGAGUUUGCACUGACACAUCUAAAUAUAUUUUCUUAACAAUUAGUGAUCAGGGCAAUACUGUUUUCUUAACAACUCGUUUGUUGUGCAUGCACACUAAAUAUGUUUGACACAACUGAUGUUAAAUUGUUAGAGUAUUCACGCUUCCGUUGCGACGCACGGAUGAUUGCCAGAUGAAUGUGAUACAGUAUGUUUUUCCCUUGGGGAUCUGUAACAUUUUGUACUAUAUUUAUUUUAAUUGAUUUACCGUAGAACAUUUUGUUCUACGGUGUUGGGUAAAAAAAAAUGUGAUACAGUAUAUUUCAAAUUUUUGUGCAGUUGCAUCAGCUACGACUUGUAAGGUAUAAACUUUGGGACUGUAUAUAGAGAAAAAAAAAGUGGUUUUCCUGCACUACACACUUAAAUCAUUAUAUUGCUAAUGCAAGUGAACAAUCAGCAUUUCUUAUAGAGCCAUGCUAAUGUUUCUCUUUGUUUAAUUGCGUACUCCUUUUGUUUACUUCUUCAGAAAGCACUUCGCUCUGUUGCACACAAGCAAUAACUAUUUCUGCACCAAUCUGUCCGAAGAUAUAAAGUUUGAACCAGCCCUUAGCUUGCAUUUGGUCAGUUCAUCUUUCAGGAGAAUAUGCAUCUUACUUAGUUCGAGGUCUGACCUGACUCUUCUUUGUACGUAUGUAAUUGGUUUAUUUCUUGAUAGGUUGGUACUCUCUGAAUUUCUUGAUGACCGUUCCCGUUGCUGCACCGCAUUGUGGCCGAGUCCUCUUCUUGGUCAUGCCAGUGACAUGAGCAGGAUGGUGUAUACCGGCUUCCCAGACAUGUGUCUGUCGAGGCCGCACCGGGUUUGUGGAGGUGAUGGCACGAGUAUUUACCAGGAUGCUUGGAGAUGCGUUGGCAUAUGUCCAGAACAACCUGGUCCACGCAUGGGGUCUGACUUGAAUAUUUCAGGAGAUGACUAGAUGUAAAUUUGACUUUCAGAUAAUACAUCUGUCAAUUGCGCAGAAUCAUAUAGAGCAGAUGGGCAUCGUUGACACGUAGUGCAUGACACAUUGCGUGAUUAACAUGCUCUUAGGCCAGCUAAGUAACAUAAGACAACUUUUGUAUGAAGAUCGGUUGUUCGGUUUCACUCUGACAGUUCAGAAGCUUUUGUUUGGCGUUUCUCUCAGCCGGAUAAUAGAGAAAAAGAGACUUACGCAGGGUCAUGGUUGCCGGGUUUUGCUGGCGUUGUGGUCCAUGCAUACCAAUUCUUUGAAUCAGUGCCACCGUGCAGUGAUGUAAGAAAAAGGUGUGUCGUUUGUCGACUGUGGGCAAUGGAGUGAUGUAGAUGUACUCACUAGUAGGAAAAGGGGC
Triticum aestivum (bread wheat) is the source of this 2130-nucleotide long non-coding RNA. RefSeq lists it as uncharacterized. The record is from RefSeq and is a predicted model, not a curated record. The transcript has 5 exons. NCBI's taxonomy places the organism in Eukaryota, Viridiplantae, Streptophyta, Magnoliopsida, Poales, Poaceae.